GGAAAAUGAAGCUCCCACGGGUAUACCUCACGUCUUGUACUUUGAGAGACAGGCUCUCAGCCAACUUUAGAAUGGGCGGAAUUGCGAGAAGCAACUUAGUGGUGCCACAGGUUUUGAUGAUUAUCUUGUAAGAAUAAACGAAGAGGCUCGACUCGGAGAGGACAUAGGAAUCAACAUCGUCAUUUGAUAGGGAAUCAACAAUGGUGCACUCAGCAGGUCCGAGAAUUUCAUCCAAUUGUGCCUUUGAGAGAGAUCGAAGUCCUUUUCCGUUAGGAUCAGCAAACAGACCAGGCUCGAAGAACGAAAUUUCAAGCCUCUUCUCGAAACCUUCAAAACCAAUGGCGGAGACCGGCAAGGCCAUAUCCAUGAUGAAAAAUGUUCACAGCAGCAAAAGAAGUUAAAAGAGGAAAAUGUUCCGAGCAAUGAGCACAAAAGCAGAAAGUAGUAAAAGAAGGAAGAAAAGGAGUGAGGGCGCAAAAGAAACUGAAAGCAGAAAUUUUUUUUUGUUUUUUUUUUUGGGUUGCGUCUAUUGACGCGUUAAGGACGGAA
Molecule: long non-coding RNA, 549 nt
Filed under: Nicotiana tabacum (common tobacco)
Lineage: Eukaryota; Viridiplantae; Streptophyta; Magnoliopsida; Solanales; Solanaceae
Description: long non-coding RNA (NTAB_LNC003295)
Source: RNAcentral